UAAUUAUGUUGUAAUAAUAUUUUAAAGUUAAAUUAUCUUGUAAACAUCCAUUAGAGCUUUUUAGUAGAUCUAAAUUAUUUCUCCAAAUUGUCUUGUAAGGAAACAUAUCUAUUAAUUAAUGAAUUCUUUCAAUUGGUAUGUUUUUCGGUGACCCCUUUAUUAAGUUAGCUAGAGGGACAAUGCAAACACAACAUAUUGAUGUAUUUAAAAGACCUUAAAUAAUUUAAAACUAUUUAAUUGAUGUAAAGAGAGGAUGAAAUUUUUAUAAACUAUAAAGUGAGAAAUCCACUUGUUACAUACAACAAAGAAAAAUAUGGCUGAAAUUGUCAAAUAUAUUUAUGUUAUAAUUAUCUUUCUUUCCCUAUUACUUGUUUCAAGGGAAGUUGAUGGAUGUACAGGAGAUAUUGAAUGUAAACGGAAAAUGUGGUGUCCCAGUCCUUCAAAACCAAUGUGUUUAUAUCCAAUGUGUGUAUGUGCUAUAAUAAAGAUUAUAGUGAAAU
Long non-coding RNA from Trifolium pratense (red clover), 500 nucleotides. RefSeq lists it as uncharacterized. The transcript is spliced from 2 exons. Lineage: Eukaryota; Viridiplantae; Streptophyta; Magnoliopsida; Fabales; Fabaceae. The record is from RefSeq and is a predicted model, not a curated record.